AUGCUGCCCUGCCUCGCCCUGCUUCUCCUGAUGGAGCUGUCCGUGUGCACUGUGGCAGGUGAUGGUGGAGAGGAACAGACACUCAGCACUGAAGCAGAGACCUGGGAAGGCGCUGGCCCCAGCAUUCAGCUCCAGCUGCAGGAGGUGAAGAUGGGCAAGGCAAGCCAGUUCUUUGGGCUGAUGGGGAAGCGAGUGGGACGUGAGUG
RNAcentral lists this small RNA (206 nucleotides) under Pan troglodytes (chimpanzee). RNAcentral describes it as "retained intron". Lineage: Eukaryota; Metazoa; Chordata; Mammalia; Primates; Hominidae. The record is from RNAcentral.